Molecule: long non-coding RNA, 263 nt
Organism: Nicotiana tabacum (common tobacco)
Lineage: Eukaryota; Viridiplantae; Streptophyta; Magnoliopsida; Solanales; Solanaceae
Source: RefSeq, a predicted model, not a curated record
CAGGCACAAUAAUCUCUUAUUAUCGAAGUUCAUUUCUCAUGCUGGCUAAUCCUUGAUAUAUCAUGGAGUAAAUGAAUAAAGGGUAGAUGAAACCAGCGAAGACUUUACAUAAGAGUAUUGGUUGAUUGUUGCUGAAAUUUCAAAUGUUUUAGGAAUCUUUUAUUUUCAUAUAUAUUAUACAAAGUUAUGUGCUAAAUCUUGAAUCGGAGAACAAUAUUGUAUAUUUUGAUUUAAUGGUAUUAUAAUUUUGAUAUUUUGGAUCA